GCCGUUGUAGCUCAGUUGGNNGUAGAGCAACUCCAUGGUAAGGAGUAGGUCCGCGGUUCAAAUCCGCGCAACGGCUCCG
Molecule: transfer RNA, 79 nt
Filed under: Patescibacteria group bacterium
Lineage: Bacteria
Description: tRNA-Thr
Rfam family: tRNA
About the family: Transfer RNA (tRNA) molecules are approximately 80 nucleotides in length. Their secondary structure includes four short double-helical elements and three loops (D, anti-codon, and T loops). Further hydrogen bonds mediate the characteristic L-shaped molecular structure. tRNAs have two regions of fundamental functional importance: the anti-codon, which is responsible for specific mRNA codon recognition, and the 3' end, to which the tRNAs corresponding amino acid is attached (by aminoacyl-tRNA synthetases). tRNAs cope with the degeneracy of the genetic code in two manners: having more than one tRNA (with a specific anti-codon) for a particular amino acid; and 'wobble' base-pairing, i.e. permitting non-standard base-pairing at the 3rd anti-codon position.
Source: RNAcentral